GACGAACGCUGGCGGCGUGCCUAAUACAUGCAAGUCGAACGCAGUGGGGACGGGUGAGUAACACGUGGGUAACCUCCAAUCAGAGGGGAUAACACUUGGAAACAGGUGCUAAACCGAUAUUGAAGGAUGGACCCGCGGUGCAUUAGCUAGUUGGUGGGGUAACGGCCAACCAAGGCCACGAUGCAUAGCCGACCUGAGAGGGUGAUCGGCCACACUGGAACGGAGACACGGCCCAGACUCCUACGGGAGGCAGCAGUGGGGAAUCUUCGACAAUGGACGAAAGUCUGACCGAGCAACGCCGCGUGAGUGAAGAAGGUUUUCGGGUCGUAAAGCUCUGUUGUUAGAGAAGCGGUAUCUAACCAGAAAGCAACGGCUAACUACGUGCCAGCAGCCGCGGUAAUAC
Molecule: ribosomal RNA, 403 nt
Filed under: uncultured bacterium
Lineage: Bacteria
Description: partial 16S ribosomal RNA
Rfam family: Bacterial small subunit ribosomal RNA
Source: RNAcentral